Molecule: ribosomal RNA, 450 nt
Filed under: uncultured bacterium
Lineage: Bacteria
Description: bacterial SSU rRNA
Rfam family: Bacterial small subunit ribosomal RNA
Source: RNAcentral
UGGUUUAAUUCGAUGCAACGCGAAGAACCUUACCUGGCCUUGACAUGUCUGGAAUCCUGUAGAGAUACGGGAGUGCCUUCGGGAAUCAGAACACAGGUGCUGCAUGGCUGUCGUCAGCUCGUGUCGUGAGAUGUUGGGUUAAGUCCCGCAACGAGCGCAACCCUCGCCUUUAGUUGCCAUCAUUUAGUUGGGCACUCUAAAGGAACCGCCGGUGAUAAGCCGGAGGAAGGUGGGGAUGACGUCAAGUCCUCAUGGCCCUUACGCGUUGGGCUACACACGUGCUACAAUGGCGACUACAGUGGGCAGCUAUCCUGCGAAGGUGAGCUAAUCUCCAAAAGUCGUCUCAGUUCGGAUUGUUCUCUGCAACUCGAGAGCAUGAAGGCGGAAUCGCUAGUAAUCGCGGAUCAGCAUGCCGCGGUGAAUACGUUCCCAGGCCUUGUACACACCGCC